Molecule: long non-coding RNA, 457 nt
Organism: Homo sapiens (human)
Lineage: Eukaryota; Metazoa; Chordata; Mammalia; Primates; Hominidae
Gene: SYN3-AS1
Product: SYN3 antisense RNA 1
Source: Ensembl
CCAAGAUUCCAGAGAUGUGGCUGGUUUCACUUCCAGGAAGCUUGCUGGAAGACUGCCCUGUGCCCCACGCCUCAGUAGGGCAGGGGGCCUCCCCUGGUUUUAGGAUCAUGCUUCUCCUGCCUGCUGAUGCUACGAUCAGUGACCAUGGACUCAUAAGGCUUUUGUUUAAGAAUUGCCUAAGAUGUUCUUCAGAUCCUGAAUUCCAGCAGGAAAGCUAAUGCCAACCAGUUUGAAAACAACCACAGAGGAAUCGAAUCAGCACGAGAAUGCAGUUUCUUCAUUUCCCUGUCCCAUGACUUUACUCUGCACUCUUUGACCAAUCAAUAAUCCUGGACCUUGGCCCACUUCAAACCCCUUGAAAUCUCUAGCUCCAACUCCCUGGAGGGGUGGAUUUGAGGUUUCCUCCUGUUUCCUUGUUUGGCUGCCGUAUGAUUAUUAAACUCUUUCUUUGCUGCAA